This 460-nucleotide ribosomal RNA is filed under the name uncultured bacterium. RNAcentral describes it as "partial 16S ribosomal RNA". It matches the Rfam family "Bacterial small subunit ribosomal RNA", at positions 338 to 795 of the family's 1533-position model. The record is from RNAcentral.
CCUACGGGAGGCAGCAGUGAGGAAUAUUGGUCAAUGGACGCAAGUCUGAACCAGCCAUGCCGCGUGCAGGAAGACGGCCCUAUGAGUUGUAAACUGCUUUUGUACGAGGGUAAACUCAGAUACGCGUACCUGUCUGAAAGUAUCGUACGAAUAAGGAUCGGCUAACUCCGUGCCAGCAGCCGCGGUAAUACGGAGGAUUCAAGCGUUAUCCGGAUUUAUUGGGUUUAAAGGGUGCGUAGGCGGUCGGUUAAGUUAGAGGUGAAAUCCCGAGGCUCAACUUCGGAAUUGCCUCUGAUACUGUUAGGCUAGAGAGUAGUUGCGGUAGGCGGAAUGUAUGGUGUAGCGGUGAAAUGCUUAGAGAUCAUACAGAACACCGAUUGCGAAGGCAGCUUACCGGAGGGGAUCUGACGCUGAGGCACGAAAGCGUGGGUAUCGAACAGGAUUAGAUACCCCUGUAGUC